Molecule: ribosomal RNA, 850 nt
Filed under: uncultured bacterium
Lineage: Bacteria
Description: bacterial SSU rRNA
Rfam family: Bacterial small subunit ribosomal RNA
Source: RNAcentral
GCGUUAUCCGGGAUUUAUUGGGUUUAAAGGGUGCGCAGGCGGGAUGUUAAGUCGGCGGUGAAAUUUUGCAGCUCAACUGUAAAAGUGCCUUCGAUACUGGCUUUCUUGAGUGUGGAUGAAGUAGGCGGAAUUUGUGGUGUAGCGGUGAAAUGCUUAGAUAUCACGAGGAACUCCGAUUGCGCAGGCAGCUUACUAAACCACUACUGACGCUCAUGCACGAAGGUGUGGGGAUCAAACAGGAUUAGAUACCCUGGUAGUCCACGCAGUAAACGAUGAUUACUAGUUGUUUGCGAUACAAUGUAAGCGACUGAGCGAAAGCGUUAAGUAAUCCACCUGGGGAGUACGUUCGCAAGAAUGAAACUCAAAGGAAUUGACGGGGGCCCGCACAAGCGGAGGAACAUGUGGUUUAAUUCGAUGAUACGCGAGGAACCUUACCCGGGCUUGAAAUGCGGCGGACCGGCAGAGAGAUCUGCCUUCCCUUCGGGGCCGCCGUGUAGGUGCUGCAUGGUUGUCGUCAGCUCGUGCCGUGAGGUGUCGGCUUAAGUGCCAUAACGAGCGCAACCCUCAUCAUUAGUUACUAACAGGUCAUGCUGAGGACUCUAGUGAGACUGCCAUCGUAAGAUGCGAGGAAGGUGGGGAUGACGUCAAAUCAGCACGGCCCUUACGUCCGGGGCGACACACGUGUUACAAUGGGUGGUACAAAGGGCAGCUACCUGGCGACAGGAUGCUAAUCUCCAAAACCACUCUCAGUUCGGAUCGGAGUCUGCAACUCGACUCCGUGAAGCUGGAUUCGCUAGUAAUCGCGCAUCAGCCACGGCGCGGUGAAUACGUUCCCGGGCCUUGUACACAC